UACGUAGGGGGCGAGCGUUGUCCGGAAUUAUUGGGCGUAAAGAGCGUGUAGGCGGUUUGGUAAGUCUGCUGUGAAAGCCUGGGGCUCAACCCUGGGCAUGCCGCGGAUACUGCCGGGCUAGAGGGUGGUAGAGGCGAGUGGAAUGCCGAGUGUAGCGGUGAAAUGCGCAGAUAUUCGGCGGAACACCAGUAGCGAAGGCGGCUCGCUGGGCCACACCUGACGCUGAGACGCGAAAGCGUGGGGAGCGAACAGG
This 253-nucleotide ribosomal RNA is filed under the name uncultured bacterium. RNAcentral's name for it is "partial 16S ribosomal RNA". It matches the Rfam family "Bacterial small subunit ribosomal RNA", at positions 524 to 776 of the family's 1533-position model. The record is from RNAcentral.